Molecule: ribosomal RNA, 253 nt
Filed under: uncultured bacterium
Lineage: Bacteria
Description: partial 16S ribosomal RNA
Rfam family: Bacterial small subunit ribosomal RNA
Source: RNAcentral
UACGUAGGGGGCGAGCGUUAUCCGGAAUUACUGGGCGUAAAGCGCACGCAGGCGGUUCGCCAAGUUUGGAGUGACAGUUGUCGGCUCAACCGACAAAGGACUUCAAAAACCGGUGAACUUGAGGACGAGAGAGGAACAUGGAACUCCAGGUGUAGUAGUGAAAUGCGUAGAUAUCUGGAAGAACACCAAUGGCGAAGGCAAUGUUCUGGCUCGUUUCUGACGCUCAGGUGCGAAAGCCAGGGGAGCGAACGGG